GACAGAGGUCCCGAGCGUUAGGCGGAAUCACUGGGCUUAAAGCGUGUGUAGGUGGAUGCCUAAGUACUUUGUGAAAUCCCACGGCUUAACCGUGGAAUUGCUUGGUAUACUGGGUGUCUUGAGCCAGCUAGGGGCAACCGGAACAAAUGGUGGAGCGGUGAAAUGCGUAGAUAUCAUUUGGAACGCCAAUGGUGAAAACAGGUUGCUGGGGCUGUGCUGACACUGAGACACGAAAGCCAGGGGAGCAAACGGG
This 253-nucleotide ribosomal RNA is filed under the name uncultured bacterium. RNAcentral's name for it is "partial 16S ribosomal RNA". It matches the Rfam family "Bacterial small subunit ribosomal RNA", at positions 524 to 776 of the family's 1533-position model. The record is from RNAcentral.